AGAACGAACGCUGGCGGCAGGCCUAACACAUGCAAGUCGAACGCCCGAGCAAUCGGGAGUGGCAGACGGGUGAGUAACGCGUGGGAACCUUCCCAAUGGUACGGAAUAGCCCAGGGAAACUUGGCGUAAUACCGUAUACGCCCGUAAGGGGAAAGAUUCAUCGCCAUUGGAUGGGCCCGCGUAGGAUUAGCUAGUUGGUGAGGUAACGGCUCACCAAGGCGACGAUCCUUAGCUGGUCUGAGAGGACGAUCAGCCACACUGGGACUGAGACACGGCCCAGACUCCUACGGGAGGCAGCAGUAGGGAAUCUUGCGCAAUGGGCGAAAGCCUGACGCAGCGACGCCGCGUGAGGGAUGAAUGCCUUCGGGUUGUAAACCUCUUUCAGCAGGGACGAAGCCUCACGGUGACGGUACCUGCAGAAGAAGCCCCGGAUAACUACGUGCCAGCCAGCCGC
RNAcentral lists this ribosomal RNA (454 nucleotides) under uncultured soil bacterium. Its description in RNAcentral is "bacterial SSU rRNA". It matches the Rfam family "Bacterial small subunit ribosomal RNA", at positions 26 to 518 of the family's 1533-position model. The record is from RNAcentral.